Molecule: ribosomal RNA, 3069 nt
Filed under: Providencia rettgeri
Lineage: Bacteria; Pseudomonadati; Pseudomonadota; Gammaproteobacteria; Enterobacterales; Morganellaceae
Description: 23S ribosomal RNA
Rfam family: Bacterial large subunit ribosomal RNA
Source: RNAcentral
UUAAGCGACUAAGCGUACACGGUGGAUGCCUAGGCAAUCAGAGGCGAUGAAGGACGUGCUAAUCUGCGAUAAGCGUCGGUAAGGUGAUAUGAACCGUUACAACCGACGAUUUCCGAAUGGGGAAACCCAGUGCAAUUCGUUGCACUAUCGUUUGAUGAAUACAUAGUCAAACGAAGCGAACCGGGGAACUGAAACAUCUCAGUACCCCGAGGAAAAGAAAUCAACCGAGAUUCCCCUAGUAGCGGCGAGCGAACGGGGAGCAGCCCAGAGUCUUAAUCAGCAUUAGCAUCAGGAGAACGGUCUGGAAAGUCCGGCAGUAAAGGGUGAUAGCCCCGUAUCCGAAGGUGUUAGUGUUGUGAACUCGACGAGUAGGGCGGGACACGUGUUAUCCUGUCUGAAUAUGGGGGACCAUCCUCCAAGGCUAAAUACUCCUGAUUGACCGAUAGUGAACCAGUACCGUGAGGGAAAGGCGAAAAGAACCCCGGCGAGGGGAGUGAAAUAGAACCUGAAACCGUGUACGUACAAGCAGUGGAGCCCCAUCACUCAAGUGCCUCGGCAAUUGAGUGAGGGUGUAAAACCAUCACAAUAACAGCGCAGGAUUUGCCAACAAGAUUGGCUGAUUUUUUCAAGCCGCAGCGCAGUGGACAUCGAAGUCCAUGAGCAGCGGAAGUUAAAAUCGGGCAAGAUUGGCCGCAAAGCCAAGCGGACAUUUGAGGAUGGGGUGACUGCGUACCUUUGUAUAAUGGGUCAGCGACUUAUAUUCUGUAGCAAGGUUAACCGUAUAGGGGAGCCGUAGGGAAACCGAGUCUUAACUGGGCGAAUAAGUUGCAGGGUAUAGACCCGAAACCCGGUGAUCUAGCCAUGGGCAGGUUGAAGGUUGGGUAACACUAACUGGAGGACCGAACCGACUAAUGUUGAAAAAUUAGCGGAUGACUUGUGGCUGGGGUGAAAGGCCAAUCAAACCGGGAGAUAGCUGGUUCUCCCCGAAAGCUAUUUAGGUAGCGCCUCGUGAACUCAUCUUCGGGGUAGAGCACUGUUUCGACUAGGGGUCAUCCCGACUUACCAACUCGAUGCAAACUACGAAUACCGAAGAAUGUUAUCACGGGAGACACACGGCGGGUGCUAACGUUCGUCGUGAAGAGGGAAACAACCCAGACCGCCAGCUAAGGUCCCAAAGUCAUAGUUAAGUGGGAAACGAAGUGGGAAGGCUCAGACAGCCAGGAUGUUGGCUUAGAAGCAGCCAUCAUUUAAAGAAAGCGUAAUAGCUCACUGGUCGAGUCGGCCUGCGCGGAAGAUGUAACGGGGCUAAACUAUGCACCGAAGCUGCGGCAGCGAUAUGUAAAUAUUGUUGGGUAGGGGAGCGUUCUGUAAGCCUGUGAAGGUGUGCUGUGAGGCAUGCUGGAGGUAUCAGAAGUGCGAAUGCUGACAUAAGUAACGAUAAUGCGGGUGAAAACCCGCACGCCGGAAGACCAAGGGUUCCUGUCCAACGUUAAUCGGGGCAGGGUGAGUCGACCCUAAGGCGAGGCAGAAAUGCGUAGUCGAUGGGAAACGGGUUAAUAUUCCCGUACUGGUGAUAAUUGCGAUGGGGGGACGGAGAAGGCUAGGCUAUCCGGGCGACGGUUGUCCCGGUUUAAGGAUGUAGGCAGGUGAAUUAGGCAAAUCCGGUUCACUAUAUGCUGAGGUCCGAUGACGAGUCACUACGGUGAUGAAGUAGCUCAUGCCCCGCUUCCAGGAAAAGCCUCUAAGCUCUAGAUUAUCAUUAAUCGUACCCCAAACCGACACAGGUGGUCAGGUAGAGAAUACUCAGGCGCUUGAGAGAACUCGGGUGAAGGAACUAGGCAAAAUGGUGCCGUAACUUCGGGAGAAGGCACGCUGGCAUUAGGUGAAGUGAUUUACUCAUGGAGCUGAAGCCAGUCGCAGAUACCAGCUGGCUGCAACUGUUUAUUAAAAACACAGCACUGUGCAAACACGAAAGUGGACGUAUACGGUGUGACGCCUGCCCGGUGCUGGAAGGUUAAUUGAUGGGGUUAUCCGUAAGGAGAAGCUCUUGAUCGAAGCCCCAGUAAACGGCGGCCGUAACUAUAACGGUCCUAAGGUAGCGAAAUUCCUUGUCGGGUAAGUUCCGACCUGCACGAAUGGCGUAAUGAUGGCCAGGCUGUCUCCACCCGAGACUCAGUGAAAUUGAACUCGCUGUGAAGAUGCAGUGUACCCGCGGCAAGACGGAAAGACCCCGUGAACCUUUACUAUAGCUUGACACUGAACAUUGAGCCUUGAUGUGUAGGAUAGGUGGGAGGCUUUGAAGCGUGGACGCCAGUCUGCGUGGAGCCAACCUUGAAAUACCACCCUUUAAUGUUUGAUGUUCUAACGUUGCCCCGUUAUCCGGGGUGCGGACAGUGUCUGGUGGGUAGUUUGACUGGGGCGGUCUCCUCCCAAAGAGUAACGGAGGAGCACGAAGGUUGGCUAAGCAUGGUCGGACAUCAUGCGGUUAGUGCAAAGGCAUAAGCCAGCUUGACUGCGAGAGUGACGGCUCGAGCAGGUACGAAAGUAGGUCUUAGUGAUCCGGUGGUUCUGAAUGGAAGGGCCAUCGCUCAACGGAUAAAAGGUACUCCGGGGAUAACAGGCUGAUACCGCCCAAGAGUUCAUAUCGACGGCGGUGUUUGGCACCUCGAUGUCGGCUCAUCACAUCCUGGGGCUGAAGUAGGUCCCAAGGGUACGGCUGUUCGCCGUUUAAAGUGGUACGCGAGCUGGGUUUAGAACGUCGUGAGACAGUUCGGUCCCUAUCUGCCGUGGGCGUUGGAAGAUUGAAAGGGCUGCUCCUAGUACGAGAGGACCGGAGUGGACGCACCACUGGUGUUCGGGUUGUCAUGCCAAUGGCAUUGCCCGGUAGCUAAGUGCGGAAGAGAUAACCGCUGAAAGCAUCUAAGCGGGAAACUUGCCUUGAGAUGAGUCUUCCCUGACUCUUUAAGAGUCCUAAAGGAACGUUUAAGACUAAGACGUUGAUAGGUUGGGUGUGUAAGCGUAGCGAUACGUUGAGCUAACCAAUACUAAUGAACCGUGAGGCUUAACCUG